RNAcentral lists this long non-coding RNA (326 nucleotides) under Olea europaea (common olive). Its description in RNAcentral is "long non-coding RNA (OEUR_LNC014684)". The record is from RNAcentral. Lineage: Eukaryota; Viridiplantae; Streptophyta; Magnoliopsida; Lamiales; Oleaceae.
AUGCUGAUUUUGUAAAAACAAUUCAUGUGGUGAGGUGUAGAAAUUGUAGAAAUAAAUUCCAUUCUACGGAAUUCAAGUCCUCUAAUGUUCUUCUAUUUUCCUUCUAUCUUGGCAAGUAAUUAUAUAUAUUUCCCAUUUGUUGUAAUUGAACCUUAUUGCAACAUAUUAUUGGGUCAAUGAGUUUAGAGGUUGAUAUUGAAGCUCAGUCUUUACAAAAACGUAAUCUUCAUCAACAUCCCAUCCACCAAUGAAUUCAAAUAUACACUGUCAAAUAUAAAAAUAAAAUGACAGAGAAAUCACAUAUAUGUUACCUUCUUUUUACUUAC